AUGACGCUGGCGGCAGGCCUAACACAUGCAAGUNNAGCGGUAGAGAAGAAGCUUGCUUCUCUUGAGAGCGGCGGACGGGUGAGUAAUGCCUAGGAAUCUGCCUGGUAGUGGGGGAUAACGUUCGGAAACGGACGCUAAUACCGCAUACGUCCUACGGGAGAAAGCAGGGGACCUUCGGGCCUUGCGCUAUCAGAUGAGCCUAGGUCGGAUUAGCUAGUUGGUGAGGUAAUGGCUCACCAAGGCGACGAUCCGUAACUGGUCUGAGAGGAUGAUCAGUCACACUGGAACUGAGACACGGUCCAGACUCCUACGGGAGGCAGCAGUGGGGAAUAUUGGACAAUGGGCGAAAGCCUGAUCCAGCCAUGCCGCGUGUGUGAAGAAGGUCUUCGGAUUGUAAAGCACUUUAAGUUGGGAGGAAGGGCAGUAAAUUAAUACUUUGCUGUUUUGACGUUACCGACAGAAUAAGCACCGGCUAACUCUGUGCCAGCAGCCGCGGUAAUACAGAGGGUGCAAGCGUUAAUCGGAAUUACUGGGCGUAAAGCGCGCGUAGGUGGUUUGUUAAGUUGGAUGUGAAAUCCCCGGGCUCAACCUGGGAACUGCAUUCAAAACUGACUGACUAGAGUAUGGUAGAGGGUGGUGGAAUUUCCUGUGUAGCGGUGAAAUGCGUAGAUAUAGGAAGGAACACCAGUGGCGAAGGCGACCACCUGGGACUAAUACUGACACUGAGGUGCGAAAGCGUGGGGAGCAAACAGGAUUAGAUACCCUGGUAGUCCACGCCGUAAACGAUGUCAACUAGCCGUUGGAAGCCUUGGAGCUUUUAGUGGCGCAGCUAACGCAUUAAGUUGACCGCCUGG
Molecule: ribosomal RNA, 854 nt
Filed under: uncultured bacterium
Lineage: Bacteria
Description: bacterial SSU rRNA
Rfam family: Bacterial small subunit ribosomal RNA
Source: RNAcentral